Molecule: ribosomal RNA, 253 nt
Filed under: uncultured bacterium
Lineage: Bacteria
Description: partial 16S ribosomal RNA
Rfam family: Bacterial small subunit ribosomal RNA
Source: RNAcentral
UACAGAGGUGCCGAGCGUUAGGCGGAAUCACUGGGCUUAAAGCGUGUGUAGGCGGAUGCCUAAGUACCUUGUGAAAUCCCCCGGCUUAACCGGGGAACUGCUUGGUAUACUGGGUGUCUUGAGCCACUUAGGGGCGACCGGAACAAACGGUGGAGCGGUGAAAUGCGUAGAUAUCGUUUGGAACGCCAAUGGUGAAAACAGGUCGCUGGGAGUGUGCUGACGCUGAGACGCGAAAGCGUGGGGAGCAAACAGG